CAAUAGCGUAUAUUUAAGUUGCUGCAGUUAAAAAGCUCGUAGUUGGAUUUCGGGUGGGAAUGGCCGGUCCGCCGUUUCGGUGUGCACUUGCUACGCACACCUUGCUGCCGGGGACGUGCUCUUGAGUUCACGCUCGGGACACGGAGUCGGCGAGGUUACUUUGAGUAAAUUAGAGUGUUCAAAGCAGGCCUACGCUCUGAAUACAUUAGCAUGGAAUAACACGAUAGGACUCUGGCCUAUCUUGUUGGUCUGUAGGACCGGAGUAAUGAUUAAGAGGGACAGUCGGGGGCAUUCGUAUUUCAUUGUCAGAGGUGAAAUUCUUGGAUUUAUGAAAGACGAACUACUGCGAAAGCAUUUGCCAAGGAUGUUUUCAUUAA
This 377-nucleotide ribosomal RNA is filed under the name uncultured eukaryote. RNAcentral's name for it is "partial 18S ribosomal RNA". It matches the Rfam family "Eukaryotic small subunit ribosomal RNA", at positions 592 to 976 of the family's 1831-position model. The record is from RNAcentral.